This is a long non-coding RNA of Gadus macrocephalus (Pacific cod), 953 nucleotides long. RefSeq lists it as uncharacterized. The transcript is spliced from 3 exons. The record is from RefSeq and is a predicted model, not a curated record. NCBI's taxonomy places the organism in Eukaryota, Metazoa, Chordata, Actinopteri, Gadiformes, Gadidae.
GUAAAAAUGUUUUCGAGCUGUACUUCAUCCAAUUUAUAAUUGUCCUUCCAUGCAGUUUAAUAUUAUUUGUUUUACUUUUCCAAUUAAUAUUUUUUCAUUUAUUAAAUUGUUUAAAAUAAAUAUUUUUACAUUAAAUUUCGCAAAGAGCUCAAACCAAGACAUUUCUGUUUUGACAAAUGCAUAAUUUUAGGAUUACGCAUAGGUUCGCCGCACAUGCGCAUUCGCACAUAAAACUAAACUUGAGCAGAGACCACGCGGCAUCAACCGACCUGGACCUGUUCCUGCGCCAGAGAGAGACUGGUAGCAUCAUAUCCACAUUUUACGGAUUAUAUUCUGCUAGGAUAUCAUCACAUUCCUCUAUCAUCGGUGGAAAGAUCUCUUCAGCCACGACCUUAUCAUCGCUGCUGUUAAGGUAUCUGAUGAAUGUGGAGGUGCAAGGACUGUGACUAUUCAUGUACCAGAAGAUCUGAAUUGCUUAAGCAUUAUAGACUAGAUCAUCAACAUUAUGGAAGGCACCAUCCUUACCUCUGUCUAUAUGAAAACUGUCCAUUUUCAUGUAAAACAUGGAAUGCUUUAAAGAAGCAUCUUUCUACAAACCACUUUUCUCAGCAAUCCUCAACAGAAGAGAUCUCACAUUUGAAGUGCCACGUUUGUGGGUACUCGCAACUUUCUACUGAAACUGACUUUUUUCACCACAUUGGCCAACAUUUGAAGAAUAAUGAAUCAGUUCCUUGUAUGUAUGUUGAUUGUUCAUAUCAAACCAACAUAUAUGGAAGUUUUCACACUCACAAAUGGAGAAAACACAAAGUGUGUACAGUUGGAGAUUUAAAACCUGGAAUAGUUCACAGGUCAAUCGUCAAUCCCUCUGCUUUAGAUUCAAGUAACAGUGACACUGAGUUGAAUGAAGAUUUACUAUUUGAUGAACCAACUUUUGAAGAACCUAGAGAUUUGAC